AGCUGAGGAGAGUGCUACUGGUAUCAAAAAUGGUUACGAUGAAGAAGAUAGUGAUCGAGUUAGCAUAUUUGGAUACAUGAUAAGUGGAGUUGGAUCAAUGAUAGUGGUGAUGGUUGAUGGUGAGAAGGAGGAGACUCAAUCUAGGGUAAAGGGAGAAAAGCCCAGUUUCACUCCAUCGCGCAAUUCCUCUUCACCAUCUAUCAUGUGAAGCUCAAGAUUGCCUUCGAUCUUUUCC
This 235-nucleotide long non-coding RNA is filed under the name Elaeis guineensis (African oil palm). RNAcentral describes it as "long non-coding RNA (EGUI_LNC052343)". The record is from RNAcentral. Lineage: Eukaryota; Viridiplantae; Streptophyta; Magnoliopsida; Arecales; Arecaceae.